GGCAAACUGGGUAUCCUGCAGCUGCUAACUGUGCUUAGCUUUGCAGCAGCGUGAGCCCGAAGCCCGGUGGCCUGACUUUGGGUGGGAGGUCCGGUGGCAGCAGCUCCUUCUGCCCCGGGACCCGGGAGGGGCCGAGGCCACUGAGUCAGCCCCCAACUUUGGAGUUUGCUGGAGGGUGAUUUCCUAAUGCGGAGGGCUCUGUCUGCGGAGUGGGCUCCGAGCUGUGACGUCACAAAACAACCUGGGAAGUGGGGGCUGCAGUGGGGGGACCUGCGGUGGGGACCCCUGGGCUGCCUACAAUGUCCUUGUUUAUUUCCAAUUAAUUUCUUGGUGCGGCUUGCUGUCUGCAAGCCUGCGGGAGAGACACUGUUAUUACGCGAUUCCAUUCCGGGUUUGUUUGAAGGGGAAGCCAGGGCCGCCUCUGGAAGUCUCAGCUUUGAAUAGGCAGAUAGGGAAUUUUGAGAAAGUCGGGUGUUUUCCCCCCUUUCCUGCAUUUUCCCCCAUUUCUCUUUAACCUCUUUUCUCCCGAGACCCUUUCACUGGUGUAAAAGGUGUAAGUGGAGUCUUAAAUGCCCUUCCCCUCCCCUUACACCUCCUCCUCACUUUUUUUUUUUUUUUUUAAUGAAAAUGACAUUUGGCCAGGCAAAGAAGAGGACAGUUUUUGUUUGUUCCUUCCACCUCCCUUAAAUCCCCAGAAGAUCUCACUGCGUCCCUGUUACUAUCUUUAGAACACAAUGUAUUUACAUCCAACCAGGAAGGGAGGCUUGUUUGCUUUCACACUGAGUCCUAGCACUGGAACUUGCUUCUCCCCCAGCAUCCAGAUUGGCUGAAAUGCAAGGGAAGGCCCAGCAGAGCACAGUCUGGACAAGGUUGGUGAGAAGCUGCAGCAAGCCUCUGGUAUAACCAGGGAGCACGGAUUUCCAGGCCAGGACCUUCCCAUGACAAGGCUCUUGAAAAAUGGGGCUCAGAGAAAGGGACAGAGACACAAACACCAUGCAGGAGAUGGUAACAUCUUAAAUCUGUAUCUCAUGAGUGAUUACUGUAUGUUUUUUUUCUUUUUAAGAUUUCUGAGUAUUUGAAAUUUUCAUAAUAAAAUGCUAAGAAAAUAUGGUUCCAUCAAAGCACAAUGAGGCUUCUUCUGCAGAAGGCCAAGGGGCUUCUGUCCAGUGACCCCUGCUGGAAUGUCAGCAUUUUCUAGAGGUGAGAAGGCACAGCAGUUGCCUGGACUCUGCACUCUUCUGGGGACAUCAUCCAGAAGCCAUCUGCCCUACAUGGAGGAUGGCUAAUAAGGAACAAAAAGCCUUUCUCCCCAAAAUCUUGCUGAUGUUCACAUUACAUAAUGUAGAGUUAUGUGUCUGCUGUGUGGUUGGCAGGAGCCUGAUCAUGAUAUGUUGAUAAUACAUGGAGUCUUGCAUGCAAACUUUGUUUAUACGCUGGGCCCUCCCUCUGAGUCUGGGGCAGGUAGCCGGCUGCACAGCCUCCAUCGGAGCCUGGAAGAGUCAGUAUUUUAUGGAUACUCGUGUUUAUUUUGCUGUCUAACUACGGUAGCCAUUGUGAGUUUGGUUAAGGCAAAGCACUGUAAAGACAUGGAGAAAGCAUCCUUUGAUAACAGAGGCAAUUACACUUCCACAUGUACCUACCUGGUCAGAUGGUACCCCCUGUCCACGGAGGGAAGGCCACCCCUGGUCAAAAAGGAGACGCAAGUCCUGAUUUGAUGCUUUAUCGAGUUGCCUAAAAAAAUGUGUUUUCAUGUGAAUGCCCAUGUAAGUAUGGAACCAAGUUUAAUGUCAACUAUGGCUGUUGGUUUCUGAGAACUGAGACCUGGCAUCCCGUCUUUGAAGAAGAUAGCAGAAAGAUGCGUUCCACUCUGUCUCUUCCAAGCCAUCAGAUCCGACUGGGAAAAGAGACCAGCCCUUCUCAAGAAGCCUCCACCAGCCCAGCCAGCAGGGAACUCGGGCCUCAGGUUGAGGCAGGUUUCCACGAGGCAGCCAAAUGUUUGCAAAACAAGCACCAGGAUGAAGAGGCCCGGUCUGCAGACAUCCCAAGGUUGCGACAGUCUUGGAAGAUGUGAGUGAGCUGAUGGAAGCGCCCCGGGGAGCCAAGGCUGAGAGGCAGACCUGCCUGGGAAAAGCCAGGUCCCCUCUGCUCACUGUCCAGACCUGGCGUGCCGAGCGAGGGAGGGCCGACGGCCUGGGAUAAUUGUCCAGUGUUUAUAUUUGAAAAGGGAUACUACACUUCCAGGAUAAUUCUCUCCAGCCUCCUCUGGGGCUAAGAUUUCCAAUUGGUCUAAAACCCUGACGAGAAAUGGGAUGGGGGGUCGGGGGGGGGGGGGGCUGAUUACCUGGCCGACUGGGCUGCAAUCACACCUUUCAAUACUAAUUAUCUGCUUGUUGAGUUCAAUGACAUUGAGCAUCCAGGCUCUGGCUGGGGCGAACCUUGCCCAGUGGCUUGCCUCACCGGCUUAAGACAAUGAUUCGAAUGGACAAAGUACCCGCACUGUGCCUUGAUAAGCAGGAAAUGAAUGCUUGUUUGCAAAUAAGAUUGGGAAAUGUGAUCAGCUUCUUGUUCAGCAUCUGUCUUUCGGUAACUAGCCCGAUAAUACUAAUGUAGAAAUAAUACGUCAAAAGACAACAGCGAGAGAUCUUUUUUUUUUUUUUAUGGCCCUUCCCUUCCCCCUCCUUCAACUUUCUGUACCUGAAGCAAAGGCAGAAGUAAAUGCAAUGUUGUUUUGUGGGCUCCCCCCACCCCCCGAAAGUAUCUGGCUUGAAUGUGUCUUUGUGGAGAUCUGGGGAAAUGAUUUGGUGUGAUACUGUGUCAGUGCGCGGAUUUGUUCAUAUCCAUGGCUUCUCCUAGAUGCCUGUCUUUGAUCUCAGUCUUCUGUGACCCCCCUUUCCCCCAGAAAGCCUUCCUUCAUUAAAUAGAAUAAAAAUUU
This is a long non-coding RNA of Canis lupus familiaris (dog), 2932 nucleotides long. RefSeq lists it as uncharacterized. The record is from RefSeq and is a predicted model, not a curated record. NCBI's taxonomy places the organism in Eukaryota, Metazoa, Chordata, Mammalia, Carnivora, Canidae. The transcript is spliced from 2 exons.